Molecule: ribosomal RNA, 407 nt
Filed under: uncultured bacterium
Lineage: Bacteria
Description: bacterial SSU rRNA
Rfam family: Bacterial small subunit ribosomal RNA
Source: RNAcentral
UGGUCUUGACAUCCCGGGAAUCAUUUGGAAACAUUUGAGUGCCUCAUUAGAGGAGCCUGGUGACAGGUGCUGCAUGGCUGUCGUCAGCUCGUGUCGUGAGAUGUUGGGUUAAGUCCCGCAACGAGCGCAACCCUUGCCUUUAGUUGCCAUCAUUAAGUUGGGCACUCUAGAGGGACUGCCGGUGUCAAACCGGAGGAAGGUGGGGAUGACGUCAAGUCCUCAUGGCCUUUAUGACCAGGGCUACACACGUACUACAAUGGCAUAUACAAAGGGCAGCCACUUCGCGAGAAGGAGCGAAUCCUCAAAAUAUGUCUCAGUCCGGAUUGGAGUCUGCAACUCGACUCCAUGAAGUUGGAAUCGCUAGUAAUCGUAGAUCAGCAUGCUACGGUGAAUACGUUCCCGGGCCU